This is a long non-coding RNA of Aquila chrysaetos chrysaetos, 668 nucleotides long. RefSeq lists it as uncharacterized. Lineage: Eukaryota; Metazoa; Chordata; Aves; Accipitriformes; Accipitridae. The record is from RefSeq and is a predicted model, not a curated record. The transcript has 3 exons.
UUGACUCUGCGCCUCGAGACGCGGGGUACGACUGAUGGGCAGUGGAGAGAUCGACCUCCGGCAGGCGCGCUGAGCCGUGGAGCGGGAGGGAGACCGCCGCCGAGAGCCGCGCCUGAUGGGUUUGGAGAACGGACUCGGGAGCCGAGUGGAUUUGGACCCUGAUCUUGCAAGCUGUAUUUUGUACCCGUGAAAAGUGCUGCAGUGAUAUGCAGUAGUGGUAUGCACAGGUUCUAGCUGGUCUGAAUAAAACACCCUGGCAGGAGGACUGGAGAGCCGACGGGGAGCGGUGAUAACUUCAUAUUGGCUAAGGUUGCCUGCGAACUUAACAAGAAACAGCCCGGUCUCCUUGUGCCACCUAUGUCGCAUAGGCAUUUGGUACGUUAGCAUGGGAUUUAAUUUGGGCAUUUAAAGCUGCCUGCAUUAGCUCGUCACGGUGGGUCUUUUCACCCAUCUUUUGUGUGUGUUCUUCCUUGCAAAUGUGUAUUUACUGCAGCACAUUUUCAAAGGGAAUCGAGAAAGAGAAAACUAAAAGCUACACGUAUUAGUAUUCCUGUUUAAUUUAAUAUCAGCUUACAAGGUGGAAAUUAAAAUGAUUUUUCUGUCACUGUUAUCUCUCUUCACUUGGCAAAGAUCGAUUUCCUUCUUCCCCACUGCUUACUAAUAAGACA